This 1382-nucleotide ribosomal RNA is filed under the name uncultured bacterium. RNAcentral's name for it is "bacterial SSU rRNA". It matches the Rfam family "Bacterial small subunit ribosomal RNA". The record is from RNAcentral.
AGAGUUUGAUCCUGGCUCAGGAUGAACGCUGGCGGCGUGCUUAACACAUGCAAGUCGAACGGGAAACCUUUUAUUGAAGCUUCGGCAGAUUUAGCUGGUUUCUAGUGGCGGACGGGUGAGUAACGCGUGGGUAACCUGCCUUAUACAGGGGGAUAACAACCAGAAAUGGUUGCUAAUACCGCAUAAGCGCACAGGACCGCAUGGUCCGGUGUGAAAAACUCCGGUGGUAUAAGAUGGACCCGCGUUGGAUUAGCUAGUUGGCAGGGUAACGGCCUACCAAGGCGACGAUCCAUAGCCGGCCUGAGAGGGUGAACGGCCACAUUGGGACUGAGACACGGCCCAGACUCCUACGGGAGGCAGCAGUGGGGAAUAUUGCACAAUGGGGGAAACCCUGAUGCAGCGACGCCGCGUGAAGGAAGAAGUAUCUCGGUAUGUAAACUUCUAUCAGCAGGGAAGAUAGUGACGGUACCUGACUAAGAAGCCCCGGCUAACUACGUGCCAGCAGCCGCGGUAAUACGUAGGGGGCAAGCGUUAUCCGGAUUUACUGGGUGUAAAGGGAGCGUAGACGGACUGGCAAGUCUGAUGUGAAAGGCGGGGGCUCAACCCCUGGACUGCAUUGGAAACUGUUAGUCUUGAGUGCCGGAGAGGUAAGCGGAAUUCCUAGUGUAGCGGUGAAAUGCGUAGAUAUUAGGAGGAACACCAGUGGCGAAGGCGGCUCACUGGACGGUAACUGACGUUGAGGCUCGAAAGCGUGGGGAGCAAACAGGAUUAGAUACCCUGGUAGUCCACGCCGUAAACGAUGAUUACUAGGUGUUGGAGGAUUGACCCCUUCAGUGCCGCAGUUAACACAAUAAGUAAUCCACCUGGGGAGUACGACCGCAAGGUUGAAACUCAAAGGAAUUGACGGGGGCCCGCACAAGCAGUGGAGUAUGUGGUUUAAUUCGACGCAACGCGAAGAACCUUACCAAGUCUUGACAUCCUGCGACGGACAUAGAAAUAUGUUUUUCCUUCGGGACGCAGAGACAGGUGGUGCAUGGUUGUCGUCAGCUCGUGUCGUGAGAUGUUGGGUUAAGUCCCGCAACGAGCGCAACCCUUAUGGUCAGUUACUACGCAAGAGGACUCUGGCCAGACUGCCGUUGACAAAACGGAGGAAGGUGGGGAUGACGUCAAAUCAUCAUGCCCUUUAUGACUUGGGCUACACACGUACUACAAUGGCGUUAAACAAAGAGAAGCAAGACCGCGAGGUGGAGCAAAACUCAGAAACAACGUCCCAGUUCGGACUGCAGGCUGCAACUCGCCUGCACGAAGUCGGAAUUGCUAGUAAUCGCAGAUCAGCAUGCUGCGGUGAAUACGUUCCCGGGCCUUGCACACACCGCCCGUCA